RNAcentral lists this ribosomal RNA (448 nucleotides) under uncultured organism. RNAcentral's name for it is "partial 16S ribosomal RNA". It matches the Rfam family "Bacterial small subunit ribosomal RNA", at positions 332 to 797 of the family's 1533-position model. The record is from RNAcentral.
UACACUCGUACGGGAGGCAGCAGUGGGGAAUAUUGGACAAUGGGCGCAAGCCUGAUCCAGCCAUGCCGCGUGAGUGAUGAAGGCCCUAGGGUUGUAAAGCUCUUUUGUGCGGGAAGAUAAUGACGGUACCGCAAGAAUAAGCCCCGGCUAACUUCGUGCCAGCAGCCGCGGUAAUACGAAGGGGGCUAGCGUUGCUCGGAAUCACUGGGCGUAAAGGGUGCGUAGGCGGGUCUUUAAGUCAGGGGUGAAAUCCUGGAGCUCAACUCCAGAACUGCCUUUGAUACUGAAGAUCUUGAGUUCGGGAGAGGUGAGUGGAACUGCGAGUGUAGAGGUGAAAUUCGUAGAUAUUCGCAAGAACACCAGUGGCGAAGGCGGCUCACUGGCCCGAUACUGACGCUGAGGCACGAAAGCGUGGGGAGCAAACAGGAUUAGAAACCCCUGUAGUCCC